RNAcentral lists this non-coding RNA (149 nucleotides) under Pan troglodytes (chimpanzee). The record is from Rfam by way of RNAcentral. Lineage: Eukaryota; Metazoa; Chordata; Mammalia; Primates; Hominidae.
GCCAGGUAUGGUGGCACGUGCCUGUAAUCCCAGCUACUCGGAGGCUGAGGUGUGGGGAUUGCUUGAGCCUAGGAGGCAGAAGUUGCAGUGAACUGAGAUCACGCAUCACUGCACUCCAGCCUGGGCAGCAAAGCAAGACCCCAUCUCAA